Molecule: ribosomal RNA, 427 nt
Filed under: uncultured bacterium
Lineage: Bacteria
Description: partial 16S ribosomal RNA
Rfam family: Bacterial small subunit ribosomal RNA
Source: RNAcentral
GUGGGGAAUAUUGGGCAAUGGGGGAAACCCUGACCCAGCGACGCCGCGUGAGGGAAGACGGCCUUCGGGUUGUAAACCUCUUUUGUACGGGAAGAAGGAAGUGACGGUACUGUACGAAUAAGUCCCGGCUAACUACGUGCCAGCAGCCGCGGUAAUACGUAGGGGACGAGCGUUGUCCGGAAUUACUGGGCGUAAAGGGCGCGCAGGCUGUGCUGCAAGUCAGCUGUGAAAUGUCUGGGCUUAACCCGGGCAUGCGGUUGAGACUGCAGUGCUGGAGUGCUGUAGAGGAAAGUGGAAUUCCCAGUGUAGCGGUGAAAUGCGUAGAUAUUGGGAAGAACACCGGUGGCGAAGGCGACUUGCUGGGCAGCAACUGACGCUGAGGCGCGAAAGCCAGGGGAGCAAACGGGAUUAGAUACCCUUGUAGUCC